This is a long non-coding RNA of Gasterosteus aculeatus aculeatus (three-spined stickleback), 1676 nucleotides long. Lineage: Eukaryota; Metazoa; Chordata; Actinopteri; Perciformes; Gasterosteidae. The record is from Ensembl.
CGGGGAACACCAUCGCGACCCGCUUCACACAACACAAACACAACAUCAUUAAAAAGAAAAAAACACUGACGCCACUUGUGGCACAUUUUAUUUCGCACGGUUGGAAAUCUGUGUCUGUGUGUGUGAUCCAGAUGAACCCCGGAUGGAGCGCUCCCCAGAGGAGGAGAGCGGAGAGGGGCUGGAUCAAUAAAUUAAAAACCAGGUAUCCUAAGGGCUUAAAUGAGGACUAAGAGCUGCGGGCUGUGAGGCAGUGCUGGACAGUGCGCAGAUGGUCCUGCUUGCAGGUCCAUCAAAAACUAUUUAUUCCCUAACCGGCCCGUGCCGCCUGCUGAGCAGCCUGCGGUCUCUACGGUUCUCUCAUACAGCCCACCCUGUUAUUUGGUCCUAAACACAACCACUUCAUAACCCAUGCCUAAACCUAAUCCUUUACAGCCCACCCGGUUAUUUUAUCCUAAACACAACCACUCCAUAACCUAUGCCUAAUCUUAACCCUUCAUCAUGUGUGGUGGCACUGUAAAUAUUUCUGCUUAUUGAAAAAAAUGUGUGUAUUAUUCAUAUUCCAUUACUGUUUCUAAUUUUAAUAAUUCAAUGUAUGAUGUUUGCUGAUGUUAUUAUCAUGUUUAUGCGUUAUUACUAAGUGAUUCAUGUUUCUGGUUUCGACGAUGCUGGUAUUUCGGAUUGUGAGACGGGUGCAUUGAACGUCUCACUGUAUGCGAUGCACCUAGAGAUUCGUAGUUCAGCGCAGCUAUUGGUCAGCUAAACCGGGGAGGGGAAAGGUCACGGCCGCCAUAUUGGCGACGCCCUAGCCGGACCGUCAUUUCACCGAGCUGACCAGAGCGACAACAACAGCGCGCACCUUUAGCUCACACUUUUUGACAAGUUCUAUAGCCUGAGGAAGGAUAUUCUUUAUAUCCGAAACGUUGCUAAACUGUUUAAACUUGUUCCGUUUAUUGUUUUAUUUUUGUUGUUAUUGUUCCAGUUAAUAAAAGGUAAAAAGAACAACUUUUCCUUCGCCUUUUUUUUCGUGGCUAGUGAACACGAGGCUUCACUAGCUAGCGACAUGUACGGGCGUGGCCGGGAGGAUGAAGGCGAGUGGACGCUGGUGCAGUACGGCAGACGCGGUAGGCGCCGCAAUCAGCACGCUCCGCCACAGGACCAGCGCCGAGCCCCGCAACAGUUCCAGCCGCAACAGCCCCGCUUUCAGCAGAACGCACCGCCACGUUUCCAGCGACAGCAGCCCCGCUAUCCACGCGACACCUACGCGAACGCUGUCCGGAGACCCGCGGAUCGGGGAGGCGCCCCGCGGUGGCGCUAUGAUGGCGGCCAGGAUGACAGGUACACGGGACGUCCCGCUAACCGCGGUCCCCGUCCAAGACCCGCACAGCCCCGGUCCUUCGACUCCCGCUUUCAACGCCCCCCCUAUAAUAAUAAUAGCAAUAACAAUAGCAACGUAAAUAGCAAUAACACACGGUACCAGCGAAACCAGAACCAGAACAAUGAGGGCGCUCAGAAUAGGCCCAGAUCUGACGACCCACUUUUCACUGUUAAAUGCCGGAUCCUCCAUAAGAUCAUUAAAGCGGCACAUCAUUUUUCUAACAUUGUUAUAACACACCCACCGGUCACGAUCUCUAGAAUGACCCAGCAGUUAGCCGCAUUCAUUAAGCCGGCUAUUCCCA